GGGACANGGCCUGUAAACGGGGUCUAAUACCGGAUAACACCUGCCCGGGCAUCUGGGUGGGUUAAAAGCUCCGGCGGUGAAGGAUGAGCCCGCGGCCUAUCAGCUUGUUGGUGAGGUAGUGGCUCACCAAGGCGACGACGGGUAGCCGGCCUGAGAGGGCGACCGGCCACACUGGGACUGAGACACGGCCCAGACUCNUACGGGAGGCAGCAGUGGGGAAUAUUGCACAAUGGGCGAAAGCCUGAUGCAGCGACGCCGCGUGAGGGAUGACGGCCUUCGGGUUGUAAACCUCUUUCAGCAGGGAAGAAGCGAAAGUGACGGUACCUGCAGAAGAAGCGCCGGCUAACUACGUGCCAGCAGCCGCGGUAAUACGUAGGGCGCAAGCGUUGUCCGGAAUUAUUGGGCGUAAAGAGCUCGUAGGCGGCUUGUCACGUCGGGUGUGAAAGCCCGGGGCUUAACCCCGGGUCUGCAUUCGAUACGGGCUAGCUAGAGUGUGGUAGGGGAGAUCGGAAUUCCUGGUGUAGCGGUGAAAUGCGCAGAUAUCAGGAGGAACACCGGUGGCGAAGGCGGAUCUCUGGGCCAUUACUGACGCUGAGGAGCGAAAGCGUGGGGAGCGAACAGGAUUAGAUACCCUGGUAGUCCACGCCGUAANCGGUGGGAACUAGGUGUUGGCGACAUUCCACGUCGUCGGUGCCGCAGCUAACGCAUUAAGUUCCCCGCCUGGGGAGUACGGCCGCAAGGCUAAAACUCAAAGGAAUUGACGGGGGCCCGCACAAGCAGCGGAGCAUGUGGCUUAAUUCGACGCAACGCGAAGAACCUUACCAAGGCUUGACAUACNCCGGAAAACGGCCAGAGAUGGUCNCCCCCUUGGGGNCCGGGGUACAG
RNAcentral lists this ribosomal RNA (885 nucleotides) under Streptomyces sp. RNAcentral describes it as "bacterial SSU rRNA". It matches the Rfam family "Bacterial small subunit ribosomal RNA", at positions 140 to 1037 of the family's 1533-position model. Lineage: Bacteria; Bacillati; Actinomycetota; Actinomycetes; Kitasatosporales; Streptomycetaceae. The record is from RNAcentral.